UACGAAGGGGGCUAGCGUUGUUCGGAAUUACUGGGCGUAAAGCGCACGUAGGCGGAUCGAUCAGUCAGGGGUGAAAUCCCAGGGCUCAACCCUGGAACUGCCUUUGAUACUGCAAGUCUUGAGUCCGGAAGAGGUGAGUGGAAUUCCUAGUGUAGAGGUGAAAUUCGUAGAUAUUAGGAAGAACACCAGUGGCGAAGGCGGCUCACUGGUCCGGUACUGACGCUGAGGUGCGAAAGCGUGGGGAGCAAACAGG
Molecule: ribosomal RNA, 253 nt
Filed under: uncultured bacterium
Lineage: Bacteria
Description: partial 16S ribosomal RNA
Rfam family: Bacterial small subunit ribosomal RNA
Source: RNAcentral